UACUUUUGUUCGCUCUUUAAAGUACCUGGGA
RNAcentral lists this non-coding RNA (31 nucleotides) under Mus musculus (house mouse). The record is from RNAcentral. Lineage: Eukaryota; Metazoa; Chordata; Mammalia; Rodentia; Muridae.